This 465-nucleotide ribosomal RNA is filed under the name uncultured bacterium. RNAcentral describes it as "partial 16S ribosomal RNA". It matches the Rfam family "Bacterial small subunit ribosomal RNA", at positions 28 to 507 of the family's 1533-position model. The record is from RNAcentral.
GACGAACGCUGGCGGCGUGCUUAACACAUGCAAGUCGAACGGAAAGGCCCUGCUUGCAGGGUACUCGAGUGGCGAACGGGUGAGUAACACGUGGGUGAUUUGCCCUGCACUUCGGGAUAAGCCUGGGAAACUGGGUCUAUUCCCGGAUAGGAGCCAUUUUUAGUGUGAUGGUUGGAAAGUUUUUUCGGUGUAGGAUGAUCUCGCGGCCUAUCAGCUUGUUGGUGGGGUAAUGGCCUACCAAGGCGGCGACGGGUAGCCGGCCUGAGAGGGUGGACGGCCACAUUGGGACUGAGAGACGGCCCAGACUCCUACGGGAGGCAGCAGUGGGGAAGAUUGCACAAUGGGCGCAGGCCUGAUGCAGCGGGGCCGCGUGGGGGAUGACGGCCUUCGGGUUGUAAACGCCUUUCGCUAGGGACGAAGCUUUUUGUGACGGUACCUAGAUAAGAAGCACCGGCUAACUACGUG